AAAUGAAUAGACGGGGGCCCGCACAAGCGGUGGAGCAUGUGGCUUAAUUCGAGGCAACGCGAAGAACCUUACCUGGGUUUGACAUCUAACUGACCGCCGAUGAAAGUCGGUUUCUCUUCGGAGCGGUUAGACAGGUGCUGCAUGGCUGUCGUCAGCUCGUGUCGUGAGAUGUUCGGUUAAGUCCGGCAACGAGCGCAACCCGUACUGUCAGUUACCAGCGCGUCAUGGCGGGGACUCUGGCAGGACUGCCCGUGUCAAGCGGGAGGAAGGCGCGGAUGACGUCAAGUCCGUAUGGCCCUUACGUCCAGGGCUGCACACGUGCUACAAUGGUCGGUCUAGUGGGCUGCAACGCCGCGAGGCGAAGCCAAUCCCUAAAACCGACCCCAGUUCAGAUUGCAGUCUGCAACUCGACUGCAUGAAGUCGGAAUCGCUAGUAAAGGCGUAUCAGCAACGACGCCUUGAAUACGUUCCCGGGCCUUGUACACACCGCCCGU
This 494-nucleotide ribosomal RNA is filed under the name uncultured bacterium. RNAcentral's name for it is "bacterial SSU rRNA". It matches the Rfam family "Bacterial small subunit ribosomal RNA", at positions 903 to 1397 of the family's 1533-position model. The record is from RNAcentral.